RNAcentral lists this ribosomal RNA (449 nucleotides) under uncultured Alphaproteobacteria bacterium. RNAcentral describes it as "bacterial SSU rRNA". It matches the Rfam family "Bacterial small subunit ribosomal RNA", at positions 94 to 578 of the family's 1533-position model. The record is from RNAcentral. Lineage: Bacteria; Pseudomonadati; Pseudomonadota; Alphaproteobacteria.
AGUGGCGCACGGGUGCGUAACGCGUGGGAACCUGCCCUUAGGUUCGGAAUAACAGUUAGAAAUGACUGCUAAUACCGGAUAAUGUCUUCGGACCAAAGAUUUAUCGCCUUUGGAUGGGCCCGCGUUGGAUUAGCUAGUUGGUGGGGUAAAGGCCUACCAAGGCGACGAUCCAUAGCUGGUCUGAGAGGAUGAUCAGCCACACUGGGACUGAGACACGGCCCAGACUCCUACGGGAGGCAGCAGUGGGGAAUAUUGGACAAUGGGCGAAAGCCUGAUCCAGCAAUGCCGCGUGAGUGAUGAAGGCCUUAGGGUUGUAAAGCUCUUUUACUAGGGAUGAUAAUGACAGUACCUAGAGAAUAAGCUCCGGCUAACUCCGUGCCAGCAGCCGCGGUAAUACGGAGGGAGCUAGCGUUGUUCGGAAUUACUGGGCGUAAAGCGCACGUAGGCGG